Molecule: ribosomal RNA, 631 nt
Filed under: uncultured bacterium
Lineage: Bacteria
Description: bacterial SSU rRNA
Rfam family: Bacterial small subunit ribosomal RNA
Source: RNAcentral
CAUGCAGUCGAGCGCUUCCCUUCGGGGAGGAGCGGCGGACGGGUUAGUAACGCGUGGGAAUAUACCCAGUUCUAAGGAAUAGCCAUUGGAAACGAUGAGUAAUACCUUAUACGCCCUUCGGGGGAAAGAUUUAUCGGAAUUGGAUUAGCCCGCGUUAGAUUAGAUAGUUGGUGGGGUAACGGCCUACCAAGUCGACGAUCUAUAGCUGGUUUGAGAGGAUGAUCAGCAACACUGGGACUGAGACACGGCCCAGACUCCUACGGGAGGCAGCAGUGGGGAAUCUUGGACAAUGGGCGCAAGCCUGAUCCAGCCAUGCCGCGUGAGUGAUGAAGGCCUUAGGGUCGUAAAGCUCUUUCGCCAGAGAUGAUAAUGACAGUAUCUGGUAAAGAAACCCCGGCUAACUCCGUGCCAGCAGCCGCGGUAAUACGGAGGGGGUUAGCGUUGUUCGGAAUUACUGGGCGUAAAGCGCACGUAGGCGGAUCAGAAAGUAUAGGGUGAAAUCCCAGGGCUCAACCCUGGAACUGCCUUGUAAACUCCUGAUCUUGAGUUCGAGAGAGGUAAGUGGAAUUCCGAGUGUAGAGGUGAAAUUCGUAGAUAUUCGGAGGAACACCAGUGGCGAAGGCGGCUUACU